AAUAUGCAAGACUUUUUUUCUCAAGUUUAAAAUGUGACAUUAUUUUUUGUUAUCUACAUUCCAACAUUGGAGCUUUAUAUUUUUGCUAGAAACAAGCCCCUUCUUGGAAUCAAGAACUU
Molecule: long non-coding RNA, 119 nt
Organism: Octopus sinensis (East Asian common octopus)
Lineage: Eukaryota; Metazoa; Mollusca; Cephalopoda; Octopoda; Octopodidae
Exons: 3
Source: RefSeq, a predicted model, not a curated record